GUUUAUUUACAGCUAGUGUACCUAAAGACUUGUUUCAUGAUUACUGUAGAAGCAGAUGAUCAUGACCAGUUUCCCUGCUCAUUGCCUUACCAGUCAGGAGAUACUUAAGUUAGCUUUAUGUCAGCAUCGUGUUCAAGUGCAUCAGUGCCUCUCAGGGAUCCUAUGGUGUGGGCUGCUGGCUUUUCUUCUGGUGGAGACCUGGAUCAGGACCAAGGCCUUUUCCAGAAUCAUAUUCUGGGACCCAAUAUAUGUGAAUGAAGAGGAAAAACAA
Corapipo altera (White-ruffed manakin) is the source of this 271-nucleotide long non-coding RNA. RefSeq lists it as uncharacterized. The record is from RefSeq and is a predicted model, not a curated record. NCBI's taxonomy places the organism in Eukaryota, Metazoa, Chordata, Aves, Passeriformes, Pipridae. The transcript has 2 exons.